RNAcentral lists this ribosomal RNA (253 nucleotides) under uncultured bacterium. RNAcentral's name for it is "partial 16S ribosomal RNA". It matches the Rfam family "Bacterial small subunit ribosomal RNA", at positions 524 to 776 of the family's 1533-position model. The record is from RNAcentral.
UACGGAGGGGGCUAGCGUUGUUCGGAAUUACUGGGCGUAAAGCGCACGUAGGCGGCUUUGUAAGUUAGAGGUGAAAGCCUGGUGCUCAACACCAGAAUUGCCUUUAAGACUGCAUCGCUUGAACGUCGGAGAGGUGAGUGGAAUUCCGAGUGUAGAGGUGAAAUUCGUAGAUAUUCGGAAGAACACCAGUGGCGAAGGCGGCUCACUGGACUGGUAUUGACGCUGAGGUGCGAAAGCGUGGGGAGCAAACAGG